GAUGCUGCGCCGGAAGAACGGAUAACUUUGAUGACGUUAAUUAUGAGGAAUCCCUCCAGCAUCU
RNAcentral lists this transfer RNA (64 nucleotides) under Nereis zonata. RNAcentral describes it as "tRNA-Ile". Lineage: Eukaryota; Metazoa; Annelida; Polychaeta; Phyllodocida; Nereididae. The record is from RNAcentral.